Molecule: long non-coding RNA, 334 nt
Organism: Vidua chalybeata
Lineage: Eukaryota; Metazoa; Chordata; Aves; Passeriformes; Viduidae
Exons: 3
Source: RefSeq, a predicted model, not a curated record
UUUUGUCAAGGGAACUGGUCUUGUUCAGCGUACUGUCCAUCAGAACUUCAAAGUACAAAUUUACUUUCCAGCUAGCUGGUCCCCAACUUAUGCAUAUACACAGCACUGGUCUUUUCUGUGUGCAGGACUUUCCCAUAUUGAACUUUUUGAAAUUUUAUAGUGAAAGAGAUGUGAUAAAAGAAAGGAGCUAGAAAUGGUAAGAGAGGAAGAGUACAAUGACUCUAUGCAAUGCUCCUGAAGAGAGCUGAGUGGAAUAGGGUCCUCCAAGAAGUAUUUCUCUGGAUCUUCUGCGGAUCCGUGUCUCUUCAGUUAGCAAGAGGCAAACUGACUUGAA